RNAcentral lists this long non-coding RNA (315 nucleotides) under Daucus carota (carrot). RNAcentral's name for it is "long non-coding RNA (DCAR_LNC003489)". The record is from RNAcentral. Lineage: Eukaryota; Viridiplantae; Streptophyta; Magnoliopsida; Apiales; Apiaceae.
UACGAACAGACAAAGACAAUCAAGAUAUCUGAGACGAGCAUCCGUCCACUGGAAGAAGUUCAUUAACAUGUUCAAGCCUCAGUGAAGAAUAAAGUUCAAUAUGUUUCUGCUAUCAAGAUUGCCUGAAGAUCAAGUAUCAAAGACCAGAAGAUUCCAGUAUAUUUAAUUUGAUUAUUUAUAAUUAAAUUUAUCGAAGCAACAUCUAACCCGGAAUGACUGAUCAAGUAUUUUAUCAAGCAAAGAAUUCAAGGGAUUAUUUCAGUUCGAGUCGUUCGUGAACCAGACCAGUGCACAGGACGUCAGGACGUACGAAAG